Molecule: long non-coding RNA, 426 nt
Organism: Lathyrus oleraceus (garden pea)
Lineage: Eukaryota; Viridiplantae; Streptophyta; Magnoliopsida; Fabales; Fabaceae
Exons: 3
Source: RefSeq, a predicted model, not a curated record
GUGAUUUGGGUUGAGUGAACUGAAACAAGGUCUUUCAUUAUGCAGGGUAGCUUCGGGUUCUGUUUUCUCUAAAACAUGCUUCAAAAUUUCUCUACUUGCUCAGGCUUGGUUUCACGGCGCGCCGGCUAGUGAAUAGGCUGUUUUACCAGGCUUGCUCUCAUCGUCAACCAAAUCCACACCAAAAACCUGAGAUUGAAUUCGUCAAAGCGAUGAAAUGUACUCUUGUCUGUGCGAACAUCCAAAAGAUCAACAUUGAGGUUGUAUCCGGUCAAAUCCAAACUCUAAACAAUUUCUUUCAAGGCUGAGUGGUGGACAUGAGUAUUAACCUUCCUAACACUGUAGAAGUCUCGAGGAGGAGCACUCUUUUGGGCAAGAAAUUUCUUAUCUGCAUUUAGCAUCAAAUGAAGAAUGAAUUGUUGUUCCAGG